This 635-nucleotide ribosomal RNA is filed under the name uncultured archaeon. Its description in RNAcentral is "bacterial SSU rRNA". It matches the Rfam family "Archaeal small subunit ribosomal RNA", at positions 175 to 812 of the family's 1478-position model. The record is from RNAcentral.
ACGCCUAGGCCACGCUUCUAGGCGCCGCCCAAGGAUGGGGCCGCGACCGAUCAGGUUGUUGGUGAGGUAACGGCCUACCAAGCCUUUUACCGGUACGGGCCGUGAGAGCGGGAGCCCGGAGAUGGGCACUGAGACAAGGGCCCAGGUCCUACGGGGCGCAGCAGUCGCGCAAACUUUGCAAUACACGAAAGUGUGACAGGGCUAUCCCGAGUGCCGUCCGCUGAGGAUGGCUUUUCCCCAGUGUAGAUAGCUGGGGGAAUAAGGAGAGGGCAAGUCUGGUGUCAGCCGCCGCGGUAAUACCAGCUCUCCGAGUGGUGGGGACGUUUAUUGGGCCUGAAGCAUCCGUAGCCAGCUGAGCAAGUCCCCAGUUAAAUCCAGCGAUUUAAUCGUUGGACUGCUGGGGAUACUGUCCGGCUAGGGGGUGGGAGAGGCCGACGGUAUUCCCGGGGUAGGGGUGAAAUCCUAUAAUCCCGGGAGGACCACCAGUGGCGAAGGCUGUUGGCUAGAACAUGCCCGACGGUGAGGGAUGAAAGCUGGGGGAGCGAACCGGAUUAGAUACCCGGGUAGUCCCAGCUGUAAACGAUGCAGGCUAGGUGUUAGGGCGGCCACGUGCCGCUCUAGUGCCGCAGGGAAGC